Pipra filicauda (Wire-tailed manakin) is the source of this 558-nucleotide long non-coding RNA. RefSeq lists it as uncharacterized. The record is from RefSeq and is a predicted model, not a curated record. The transcript has 2 exons. NCBI's taxonomy places the organism in Eukaryota, Metazoa, Chordata, Aves, Passeriformes, Pipridae.
CCCUCCCUCACCAGCAACACAUCGGAGAGUAGAAGGCGACUCCUGGACAUUGAACUGGGAGUUGCUGCGCUAAGACAAUGAUGAGCUGUGGUAUACCAAUGGAAUUUAACCUUAUGCCAAAUUUUGGAUCCUUGCAACACUGCUCAGGGACUAUGAAAGGUUCGACCAGAUGAACUUCUGAAGUCCCUUCCAAAAUGGGCUGAUUCAUGAUUCCAUGAUUUAUCAAAGGGAAUUUGGACCUCUAUAGGGCAAGCAACAACAAAGAUUGAAGCAGCAAGCCAAGCUGACUCCGCAGGUGAUGGAUUUCAGUAGGGCUCUAGAAAAAGUUUUUUGGUCCAACAUCUGUGGAUAUAAUUUUUCCUAUUUUGUUUUACCAAAUGUUCAGUAGAAAAAACCAGAGGAUUUUACGGAAUAACUUAUCACUUAGAGCAACAAUGGGAAGCAGAAUGGAGGUCAUCUUACCAGGUUAAAUAUUUAAUGAAACACAACUUCUAUAUUAAUGGUAUUUCUCCCAUUGAUCUUAAUAAAUGUAGUGAUAAAAUUGAAAACAUGAACAGA